GACGAACGCUGGCGGCGUGCUUAACACAUGCAAGUCGAACGGUAAGGCCCUUCGGGUACACGAGUGGCGAACGGGUGAGUAACACGUGGGUGAUCUGCCCUGCACUUCGGGAUAAGCCUGGGAAACUGGGUCUAAUACCGGAUAGGACUCCUGGCUUCAUGGUUGGGGUGUAAGGCUUUUGCGGUGUGGGAUGGGCCCGCGGCCUAUCAGCUUGUUGGUGGGGUAAUGGCCUACCAAGGCGACGACGGGUAGCCGGCCUGAGAGGGUGACCGGCCACACUGGGACUGAGAUACGGCCCAGACUCCUACGGGAGGCAGCAGUGGGGAAUAUUGCACAAUGGGCGCAAGCCUGAUGCAGCGACGCCGCGUGAGGGAUGACGGCCUUC
RNAcentral lists this ribosomal RNA (385 nucleotides) under uncultured bacterium. RNAcentral's name for it is "bacterial SSU rRNA". It matches the Rfam family "Bacterial small subunit ribosomal RNA", at positions 28 to 419 of the family's 1533-position model. The record is from RNAcentral.